GACGAACGCUGGCGGCGUGCUUAACACAUGCAAGUCGAACGGAAAGGCCCUGCUUUUGUGGGGUGCUCGAGUGGCGAGCGGGUGAGUAACACGUGAGUAACCUGCCCUUGACUUUGGGAUAACUUCAGGAAACUGGGGCUAAUACCGGAUAGGAGCUCCUGCUGCAUGGUGGGGGUUGGAAAGCUUCGGCGGUUGGGGAUGGACUCGCGGCUUAUCAGCUUGUUGGUGGGGUAGUGGCUUACCAAGGCUUUGACGGGUAGCCGGCCUGAGAGGGUGACCGGCCACAUUGGGACUGAGAUACGGCCCAGACUCCUACGGGAGGCAGCAGUGGGGAAUAUUGCACAAUGGGCGGAAGCCUGAUGCAGCAACGCCGCGUGCGGGAUGACGGCCUUCGGGUUGUAAACCGCUUUCGCCUGUGACGAAGCGUGAGUGACGGUAAUGGGUAAAGAAGCACCGGCUAACUACGUGCCAGCAGCCGCGGUGAUACGUAGGGUGCGAGCGUUGUCCGGAUUUAUUGGGCGUAAAGGGCUCGUAGGUGGUUGAUCGCGUCGGAAGUGUAAUCUUGGGGCUUAACCCUGAGCGUGCUUUCGAUACGGGUUGACUUGAGGAAGGUAGGGGAGAAUGGAAUUCCUGGUGGAGCGGUGGAAUGCGCAGAUAUCAGGAGGAACACCAGUGGCGAAGGCGGUUCUCUGGGCCUUUCCUGACGCUGAGGAGCGAAAGCGUGGGGAGCGAACGGGCUUAGAUACCCUGGUAGUCCACGCUGUAAACGGUGGGUACUAGGUGUGGGGUCCAUUCCACGGGUUCCGUGCCGUAGCUAACGCUUUAAGUACCCCGCCUGGGGAGUACGGCCGCAAGGCUAAAACUCAAAGGAAUUGACGGGGCCCCGCACAAGCGGCGGAGCAUGCGGAUUAGUUCGAUGCAACGCGUAGAACCUUACCUGGGUUUGACAUGGAUCGGGAGUGCUCAGAGAUGGGUGUGCCUCUUUUGGGGUCGGUUCACAGGUGGUGCAUGGCUGUCGUCAGCUCGUGUCGUGAGAUGUUGGGUUAAGUCCCGCAACGAGCGCAACCCUUGUUCACUGUUGCCAGCACGUUAUGGUGGGGACUCAGUGGAGACCGCCGGGGUCAACUCGGAGGAAGGUGGGGAUGACGUCAAGUCAUCAUGCCCCUUAUGUCCAGGGCUUCACGCAUGCUACAAUGGCUGGUACAGAGAGUGGCGAGCCUGUGAGGGUGAGCGAAUCUCGGAAAGCCGGUCUCAGUUCGGAUUGGGGUCUGCAACUCGACCUCAUGAAGUCGGAGUCGCUAGUAAUCGCAGAUCAGCAACGCUGCGGAAAUACGUUCCCGGGGCU
This 1345-nucleotide ribosomal RNA is filed under the name uncultured bacterium. Its description in RNAcentral is "partial 16S ribosomal RNA". It matches the Rfam family "Bacterial small subunit ribosomal RNA", at positions 28 to 1381 of the family's 1533-position model. The record is from RNAcentral.